GACGAACGCUGGCGGCGUGCUUAACACAUGCAAGUCGAACGGUGAAGCGCCUGCCUUUUUGGUUGGUGUGGAUGAGUGGCGAACGGGUGAGUAACACGUGAGUAACCUGCCCCCUUCUUCUGGAUAACCGCAUGAAAGUGUGGCUAAUACGGGAUAUUCUGGGUCUGUCGCAUGAUGGGUCUGGGAAAGAUAUUGUUUCGGUGGGGGAUGGUCUCGCGGCCUGUCAGCUUGUUGGUUGGGUGAUGGCCUACCAAGGCGGUGACGGGUAGCCGGCCUGGGAGGGUGGACGGUCACACGGGGACUGAGACACGGCCGAGACUCCUACGGGAGGCAGCAGUGGGGAAUAUUGAACAAUGGGGGAAAGCCUGAUGCAGCGACGCCGCGUGAGGGAUGGAGGCCUUCGGGUUGUGAACCUCUUUCGCCAGUGAAGCAGGCCUGCCUCGUUUGUGGGUGGGUUGACGGUAGCUGGAGAAGAAGCGCCGGCUAACUACGUG
RNAcentral lists this ribosomal RNA (494 nucleotides) under uncultured bacterium. RNAcentral describes it as "partial 16S ribosomal RNA". It matches the Rfam family "Bacterial small subunit ribosomal RNA", at positions 28 to 507 of the family's 1533-position model. The record is from RNAcentral.